Molecule: transfer RNA, 76 nt
Filed under: bacterium
Lineage: Bacteria
Also listed under: 1 other name
Description: tRNA-Lys
Rfam family: tRNA
About the family: Transfer RNA (tRNA) molecules are approximately 80 nucleotides in length. Their secondary structure includes four short double-helical elements and three loops (D, anti-codon, and T loops).
Source: RNAcentral
GCCUCAGUAGCUCAAUUGGUAGAGCAGUUGACUCUUAAUCAAUUGGUUCUAGGUUCGAGUCCUAGCUGGGGUACCA